AAGGACCAAAAUUGUAUGAGGCACACAUUAAACAAAUAUUUACAUUAUAAAAACCAUUAAAACAUACAUAAUAUUAGAGGUGAGCAUAAUAGAAAAAAUAUAAGGCAAAACCAUCUGAAAGUAAAACGAUUGUUAAUCACGAGAGCCGCCGACAAGUGAACACUUAGUAGUUUUUAGAUCAGUUAAAAAUUCAACUUAAAUUCUCGAUUCUUCUUACCCUUGAAUAAUUUAAUAAAAAUCUUAAAUAAUAAAUAAUUGUUAACAAAAAGAAAGUCAAUGUGACCUCGUUACUUCGCCAUUAUGGCGAAGAGGUAUUGAUUUUCUCUUAUCUUUUCUCUUUUGAAGAAAAGAUCCUACAUAACUGUUGAACAGUAUAUAAAUAAGCUGAAAAUAAUAAAAACAAGAAAUAAAAUUAGACUGCACAUCCCUAAUAAAGAUGGCGGUAGUAGGCCUGUAGUAAGAACGUACAAACAUCAAUAAUAAAUAAGAAUAAAUGAAUCAGCAAAAACUACAAAUAUAAUUCAUGAUAAUGUUUUUACAAUGGCCAGUCUGAAUCCUGCAUUAGACAAAAACUGUAUUCAGUAAAUUCAGUAUGAGUAAAUAAAACAGUAAGAAAUGAUUAAACAAAAAGUCACUGCGCAUUAAAAAUGCUAAGAUGGCGGAUUGAACUGAAAACUAAAAUCCAUACUAUUUCCUUCCUAUCAAACCAAAAAAUUAUCAAAAUUAAUCAUUAUUGACAAAUAUUAGAAUAAUUCAAGUUGGCAAGCAAUAAUAAUUAUAACGAAUGAUUGCGCGUAGACGACAUGGUGGACCUGAAAAUCCUACAAUCACUACAUUCAGGUUAAAUAAAUUUUAAAAUAAUUUCUCCUAUCAUAAAGAGAACAAGUUAACAAAAAUCGUCAAAUAAGUUACAAAUAAAGUCUAAAAGAUAAAAAGAGUCGGGGGGACUUGGCUCAUUUUGAAUCCCUACCUAUUGGGUCAAAUCAUGUAAAUGAACGCUUUCUUUCCCUUUAAAAUUAUAAAUUAACAAAACAGCAAAGUUUUUAAUAACAAUAGUAAAAUAAGGUAUGACCUAAAAAAGAAGUCAGGGCUACUGCGCAACGUCACAAAAAAAAAUGGCCGUCGUACAUACACGGACUUUCUCUUCGAAAUCCUACCUAGAAAGUCAAAUCUAAGUAAAAUAACCAAUUUCUUUCAAUCUAAAAUUAUAAAUUUAAUAAAAAUUUAGUUUUUAUUAACAAUAAUCGUAAAAUGACCUAAGAUAAAGUCAGAGCUUAUGUGCACGUUAGGUAAAAUGGCCGCCGUACAAGCAGGAACUUUUUAACUAUUGCGUAACCAUUUUCAUGAACUUUAUGUAAAGGAAAAACUUAUAGUUUUCCCAAAAACUCAAAUUUAAAGCAAACAGUCUAGUUUAUAACAAUCGUAAAAUAGGUACUAAAUAAUACAAACGGCCUAAAAAGAAAUUCAGGAUGGUUUGCCACGUCAGACAAAAUGUCCGCCGUACAAGUAGGAACUUUCCAACUAUUGCGUAACAAUUGUAAAGAACAUUUUAUACUUGGAAAAACAAAUUUGUAUUCCUAAAAACAAAUACAUUAGGAAAACAGCCUAGUUUAUGAACAAUCGUACAAUAAGUAAUAUGGCCUUAAAAAUAAAUUAAGGUGUUAGCCACGUCAAACAAAAUGGCCGUCGAACAAGCACGAAAAUUCUAUUAACAAUCUGUAAGAACGUAUAUAAAGGAUAAACCUAUUAAAAUUGUGUUUGUUUGCAUUAACCGUUUAGAAAAGUUCUUCAAAUUGUUAA
RNAcentral lists this long non-coding RNA (1800 nucleotides) under Cimex lectularius (bed bug). RNAcentral's name for it is "uncharacterized LOC106665918". The record is from RNAcentral. Lineage: Eukaryota; Metazoa; Arthropoda; Insecta; Hemiptera; Cimicidae.